Molecule: long non-coding RNA, 279 nt
Filed under: Homo sapiens (human)
Lineage: Eukaryota; Metazoa; Chordata; Mammalia; Primates; Hominidae
Description: HSALNT0183076
Source: RNAcentral
CCUGUGUGCUGUGAUCAGACAGUUCCAUCCUGGGAGGAAAAAAGAAUAUAAAGAAGAAAGGAAAAAAAGGAGUCUGAAAGUUUUCUUCAGAGGCUUCAUCAUUCUAAAACUUAUAGGAGUGCUUUCCUAAAAUUAUGGGAAUAUGAGGACAAGAAAGAAGAGAUGAAAAAGUGGAGGCCUAAAAAGGUCAAGCUACUCAACCCAAGGACACACAGCUCCUGGAAGACUGAGCAAGAUUCUGACCCUAGGGCUGAGGCCUCCAGCCACUGUGAGCUCCCC